UUUUACCCCCGCUGGAAACUUAAAGCCAUAUCCAAAUAAGCGGAGGGAAAAAGAAAACCCAACCAGGGGAUUUGCCCUUAGUAACGGGCGGAGUGAAGCGGCAACAGCUCAAAAUUUGAAAUCUGGCCCCCCAGGCCCCGAAGUUGUAAAUUUGCAGGAGGAUGCUUUUGGGCGCGGUGCCUUCCGAGUUCCCUGGAACGGGACGCCAUAGAGGGUGAGAGCCCCCGUCUGGUUGGAUACCAAGCCUUUGUAAAGCUCCUUCGACGAGUCGAGUAGUUUGGGAAUGCUGCUCUAAAUGGGAGGUAUAUGUCUUCUAAAGCUAAAUACCGGCCAGAGACCGAUAGCGCACAAGUAGAGUGAUCGAAAGAUGAAAAGCACUUUGUAAAGAGAGUUAAACAGCACGUGAAAUAGUAAAAAGGGAAGCGUUUAUGACCAGACUUGGGGUGGUUAUUCUUCCACCGUUCUCGCUGGUGCACUUUGCCGGUCCAGGCCAGCAUCAGUUCGCUGCGGGGGAUAAAGGCGUCGGGAAUGUGGCUCCUCUGGAGUGUUAUAGCCCUUCGCGCAAUACCCUGCGGUGGACUGAGGUUCGCGCAUCUGCAAGGAUGCUGGCGUAAUGGUCAUCAACGACCCGUCUUGAAACACGGACCAAGGAGUCGUCUUCGUAUGCGAGUGUUCGGGUGUAAAACCCCUACGCGUAAUGAAAGUGAACGCAGGUGAGAGCCCUCUUCUCAUCAUCGACCGAUCCUGAUGUUCUCGGAUGGAUUUGAGUAAGAGCAUACGGGGCCGGACCCGAAAGAAGUUUCUAUGCCUGUAUAGGGUGAAGCCAGAGGAAACU
Molecule: ribosomal RNA, 835 nt
Filed under: Stachybotrys chartarum
Lineage: Eukaryota; Fungi; Ascomycota; Sordariomycetes; Hypocreales; Stachybotryaceae
Description: eukaryotic LSU rRNA
Rfam family: Eukaryotic large subunit ribosomal RNA
Source: RNAcentral